CUUUCACCCCCAAGAAACCAAUUUCCUGUUUCAUUAACGCCAGAGCCACAGGCUUUGUUUUUGACAGUGAUUUUGGUGUUGGCUUCUGUCUGGCUGCGAGGCUUCCUUUCUGGAGCCUUCCGUAAACCACCUGCACCUUCUGUACAAACCCGAGCGACGGGAUCAUGGCUCCGGUUGUGUAGUCUGGGCGGCCCUUGAACUACACUGCCCAGGAUGGCCUCCAACUUGGGAUAUUGGAAUGGACCCCAGUGCCCGCAAGGCUCAUGGGGUAGGAGUUUGACAUCCUUCGAUCCGUUUGACUGACGGUGAUACCAGGCAUGUCCACAGUGCUGGCAUCUAGCUGGACAGGGUCCAGGUCCCGUCACGAGCUUCAGGAAGACAUCAGCGGAGAGGAAACUGGCGACACCAAGGCCUGGGGUUGGGGGGGAAGGAAGGGGGAAUUCUUCAGCCCCGUGAUUUUCCUCUAAGGAUGUGUGUGUUCCAAAUCGUGGACAAGAUAAGCCAGCAGAGGGGCAGCUGGGACGCGUGCGUGAGGGGGAUUUCCACGCGGCACACCCACCAGGCCAGCAUUCCAGCUCCAGGCCAGACAGACGGGCGAGGCCGCCCGAUGCAUCAUGGGGUACGAAGCCGACGUAGGUACAGUGCGGUGGACCUGCACGGGUAUCAUCCGGGCACUCUGGGAGGCUGGCACGUCGCAAGUUCAAGCUCAGCCUGUGCCAAAAUAAACCAUAAAACAGCGCUCAGUGCAAAGGCCCUGGGUUCAGGCUCCUGCAGUAAGCGAACAGCAACCUCAGAAAGUACAAUCAGCCGCGCAUUUGCGCUCUGUGGAUUCAACCUCCACAGACGGAAGCAUGCAGAGGCCUUUUGUUCUGGUGAUUGUUCCCUACAGGAUACACUGUGUGCACUGCACUUACACUGUAGCAAGAAUAUAAAGUCUAAGGGGAAAAGGCGGGCAGGUUCUAUGCAAAUAUCUAUGCCAUUUUAUUUCUUUCAGCUCUUUUUAUUAGUACACGCUUGCAGCCCAUAAUGCUCACGCUGCUGGUGUGGAGUUGGUCCACGCACACCACACAUCUUAAUUCAUUUCCAUCCCUCUUCCCUCCCCUCUCCCCAUCCCUCCAUCUCUUGAUCACCUUCCCAUUUGAGAAGGAUCUCUCCUCUCAUUUCCUAUUAUCUUUUGUUCUGCUCUUUAUUUGUAAUUUUGUUUCUCAUUUAAGAGUGAUAUUUAAACUUGUGUGUCUGCGAUGGUUUCGCUUAACUGACCCAAAUUUAUCCUUUUUUAUGGCAGAGUAGUACUCCCCCACGUACGAAUACCACACUUUAUCCAUUUAUCAGCUUGAUGGACGUUGAGGUUGACUUGAUUUUUGUUUCAUUUCUUGAGACAGGGUCCGGUGGGAAUCCUGUGGGCAUCCUGGAGCCAGUUUCCCAAGGUGCAGCCCGGCCUGCGUACCACAGAGACACCCCCCCAGCCAUGUUACUUUCCUGUAAUUUUCCUCCUGGAAACUCACCUUCUGCAACGCUGUUACUCAUUAACUCGCAGGCAGCCUUGACCUGGCUGCCCGGUGGCAGUGGUCCCCCUGACCCCUGCUCCGAGGGUGCUGGGGACUCCUGCUCUCAGAGCACCAGGCAGGAUCCUGGAUUCCGGAUCUGCAGGGUCCCCCGGGCACUCGGGCCACUGGUCCCUGUCUCUAUUCCUCCUCCAAACUGCAGGCCCAUGGCCACGGAAGCACCUUUCUGGUCUGGGGUGAGAAUCCAGCCACACCAGGCAAAUGGAAAACAUGGCCACUUGACCACAGUCAGAGCAGCUGUUUGUUCACGGCCACUCUGCUCGGUUCUGACAAUGGCCCUGACCCCUCCCCUGCUAAAUCCCCAUCUUAUUCUUGAACCCAGAUGCUGACCGAGCUUCUGCCUGGAAUCUUUCUCCCAGCGCCUCCUUCCUUCUGUCCCCUCUCCCACCGACUCAGGAGCCCGAGGUUGGAGGAUCACCUGAGUUACUCUGGACAAUACAGGGAGGCCUUAUUUUUUUAA
Cavia porcellus (domestic guinea pig) is the source of this 2025-nucleotide long non-coding RNA. RefSeq lists it as uncharacterized. The transcript is spliced from 3 exons. The record is from RefSeq and is a predicted model, not a curated record. NCBI's taxonomy places the organism in Eukaryota, Metazoa, Chordata, Mammalia, Rodentia, Caviidae.